Equus asinus (donkey) is the source of this 2034-nucleotide long non-coding RNA. The record is from Ensembl. NCBI's taxonomy places the organism in Eukaryota, Metazoa, Chordata, Mammalia, Perissodactyla, Equidae.
UGCGCGGCUCCUUCCGGAGCGCCGCGGCCCCCGCCCCCGGCCCAGACCCUCUCGGGGGUCGCGAGGGACCCUGCUCCGGACCCCUCCCGCGGGGCUCUGAGAAUACCCCCUCCGCCCCCUUCUGGGGAGACGCCGACCCCAGCUCCUAAGCUGAAUAGGCCCGGGGCCCCCUCCUGCGCCCCCAUCUCUUCCGCCUGGGGGUCCCAGGUCCCCAGUCCCCACGUGCAGUGGGUGGCAGGCUGGGGCCUAACCCGGAGGGAGGCAGGGAGGCAGGUCAGGACCUGAGACCCCGGCCUGAGGAAGGCCCUGCCUUAUGGGGGAAGGGAGAGCAACACCCCGGCCGCAGGGUCCCACCCGAGGAGUUUGAGAGGCCUGGGUGACCUCUGUCCCCCUGCCACCGGGGAGGGGGGCGAGGGAGGGGCCGCAGUGUCCACAGAGCCUUGUAGUCAGGUAGUCAGGACACAGGCCCGGCCCCUCUACUGAGAGGAGGUGAGAAGGGGGCAUGGCCCCUCUGAGGCCCAUAUAAGGCACCUCAACAAAUGUUUACGGGUCCCCUUCCCCCACCACACUCACAUCGCACCGUGCCCACCACCCCCCCACCCCGCCCCACAUUCAUUACCGCUUCAGAGGCAGUCCCCCGACCCCCUGUGCCAGACCCUCAGGGAGAGCCCAGUCUGGUAGAGAGGCAGACAAGGAGGCAGAAAAUUCCCCUCACGGUUGCAAGAGGGGACAUGGGGACAGCUACUCGGGGUGUCUUCUUGAAGGUGGAUACAGCCCAACUGAAUAAGUGCCUGCCAAGGAGAGAAGGAUCGUGGAUGCCAGAGGCCACAGGGGCUGCCGAUAAACCUUACCGCUCAAAUUCAUCAGGAUAGUCACCCAUUUCACAGGAUGCAGCCUCAGAAUCCUGGCACAGGGCUCCUGGCAGCCACUGGGAAGGGUUGGCCCUGGAAACAUCAUCUACUGGCCUCUUCCAAAGGACCUGCUGGACCCGCUAAGCUCCUACCUGCCCACAGGACCAAGACAGGCAUCUCUGCCCUUCCGGCUCUCUGGGGCCUCCACCUCCUCACCUUGAAGAUGACCAUUCCUGGUACCCCACAGAACCACAGAGACCCCCAAUGGCCUAAACCCAAAACUGAGGCCACCCCUCCAGCCUCUGCCUCCCUCAGGGACCCCUCUAGCCAGCACGCCCCUCCUCCACAUCUUCCCCACCCUCGGCAGACCAGCUCCUCCUCACCUGCAUUCAAACUUGCUUGUGUCUCCUGACCUAAGAGAUAAGACCUCUGCCCCUUCCACAUCACCCUCCAGCCAUCGGCCAUCUCCUCCCCCUUCUCAACCAAGUUUCCUGAGAAAGGCCUUGACGCGUGCCAUCUCCACUCUGCUGCCAUCCCAGCCCUUUCCUUGGACAAGGCAGGUCACCAAUGGCCUCCUGGUGUCCACCGCGGUCCUGCUCUUCCCCAGCCAUGUGGGCCUCUCCCCCUGCUCUCAGGACAGAGUCCGGCCUCCUAGCCAUGGCCCUUGAGUCUGCCUGUCCCAAUCCUGGGGACAUCCCCAUGCCCCACCCCUCACUCUACUCUCUAGACACACCUACCGACUUCCUUCUCACUGGCUCUGGGCCUCCAUGCCAGCUCAGUCCUCUGCCCCCCUGGGAAACAACCUCAGCAGCAACCAUAAGCUACGGUUUAUUUAGAACGACUGCGGGCCGGGCAUCGUGGUGAGCAGAGCUUAGCCCAUCCCGUCCUCCAUCAAUCCCAUCUAUUCAUUGACUCCAGAAACUUUCACUGACCAUCUACAAUGUGCCGCAUCCCUUUGUAAGCACUAGGGCACGGCUGUCAACUGAGCUGUAGGCAUUAUUGUUCCAAUUGUACAGGUGUGGAAACUGAGGCUCAGAGAGGCUAAGUGACCUGCCUGGGCUCACACGGCCAUGAGGUGGGCUCCACGUGUGACAUCCACACCUGCCCCCGUGCCAUGGCCUCCCUGUGGGCCACCCGCUCCAAGUUAGCCCCAACGCUGCCCACCCCCCACCUCCCACCCCCC